UGGACUGUAUAUGAGAUCCCAUUCACUUAGCAGUUCUCGCUCACAGACGGUGAAAUGUUCGAUGUCAACACCGUCGAACGAUGCCUCUCCUGCAGCCAUCAGAGAGCAGUCGCGUGUCACGGUCAUGGCGGCUUAGACAGCAGCCACGACGCAGAAGGUGUUUGCGGUUGAAAAGCAGAGUGAGGGCAAGCAGAGAAUAGAGGAACAUCAACAUCGUCGAUAUUUCCAGCGACAGCGACGGCGGAGAGAAGCAAGGCCUGCGUAAAUAUGCAAACCUGGUAUGCAUAUGCCAAGCCAACAUCCGCAG
RNAcentral lists this small RNA (307 nucleotides) under Histoplasma ohiense. RNAcentral describes it as "hypothetical lncRNA". Lineage: Eukaryota; Fungi; Ascomycota; Eurotiomycetes; Onygenales; Ajellomycetaceae. The record is from RNAcentral.